Molecule: ribosomal RNA, 256 nt
Filed under: Escherichia coli
Lineage: Bacteria; Pseudomonadati; Pseudomonadota; Gammaproteobacteria; Enterobacterales; Enterobacteriaceae
Also listed under: 1 other name
Description: partial 23S ribosomal RNA
Rfam family: Bacterial large subunit ribosomal RNA
Source: RNAcentral
CCGGAGUGGACGCAUCACUGGUGUUCGGGUUGUCAUGCCAAUGGCACUGCCCGGUAGCUAAAUGCGGAAGAGAUAAGUGCUGAAAGCAUCUAAGCACGAAACUUGCCCCGAGAUGAGUUCUCCCUGAGACUUAGAGUCUCCUGAAGGAACGUUGAAGACGACGACGUUGAUAGGCCGGGUGUGUAAGCGCAGCGAUGCGUUGAGCUAACCGGUACUAAUGAACCGUGAGGCUUAACCUUACAACGCCGAAGCUGUU